Molecule: non-coding RNA, 2193 nt
Organism: Momordica charantia (bitter melon)
Lineage: Eukaryota; Viridiplantae; Streptophyta; Magnoliopsida; Cucurbitales; Cucurbitaceae
Source: RefSeq, a predicted model, not a curated record
CCACCCCCAUAUCUCCCCAUUCUCCACUUUCUUGAAACUUCCAGAACCUUCUCUCUCUCCUCCAACUUGCCCAAGAAAGUUCCUCUCCUCUAGAACUUUCCAAUCAUCGCCUUCCAUUUGGUCAGAUUCCUAUUUAUUCCAUUCCAUGCUUCCCCAAUCGAAUUCUGAUUCCUCAAUCGAUUUCCAUGCUUUGUUCUGUUCAGAAUCAGAUGAUCGAAGGCGGCUGAAUUGUUCAAUCCAAUUUCUGCGCGGUUAAUUGUAGAGAUGAAUCCGAUGAAUAAUCCUCUGUUUCCGGUUAAGCAGGAGUUUCCGGGUUCGUCGGAGGGCGGCGGAGACCGGGCGGCGAUGGCGGCUCCGCUGCCAAUGGAGGGGCUCCACGACGUGGGUCCGCCGCCGUUUCUGACGAAGACGUUUGAAAUCGUCGAUGACUUCAACACGAACCAUGUGAUUUCGUGGAGCUUUGGGGGAUCCAGCUUCGUGGUUUGGGAUCCUCAUUGCUUCUCCACUGAAUUACUUCCGCGAUUCUUUAAGCACAAUAAUUUCUCCAGCUUCGUACGCCAGCUUAAUACUUACGGUUUUAGAAAGGUGGAUCCAGAUAGAUGGGAGUUUGCGAAUGAAGGGUUUCUGAGAGGCCAGAAGCAUCUCCUCAAGAACAUAAAGAGAAGGAGGGCAACGUAUCAGCAGCAAUCUCUGCAUUCCCAACAAGCCGGUGGAGCUUGUGUAGAGGUUGGCCAAUUUGGAAGAGAUGCAGAAGUGGAUCGUCUAAAACGGGACAAGCAAGUGCUGAUGAUGGAGUUAGUGAAGCUAAGGCAAGAGCAGCAGAACACAAGAGCCUAUCUUCAAGCAAUGGAGCAAAGGCUGAGAGGAACCGAGAUUAAGCAGAGACAAAUGAUGAAUUUCUUAGCGAGAGCCAUGCAGAACCCAUCGUUUAUUCAGCAGUUAGUCCAGCAAAAGGAGAAGAGGAAGGAGCUUGAAGAAGCAAUAACCAAGAAGAGGAGAAGGCCAAUUGAGCAAGGGCAACAGAGAUUUUCAGGUGAAGCAUCAAACACCAUUAAGACUGAGCCUCUGGAAUCUGAAGAUCAAUAUGGGUUUGGGAUGACAGAGCUGGAAGCACUUGCAUUGGAGAUGCAGGGGUUGGGGAAGGCAAGACACGAGGAGGAGGAAGAAGAAGAAGAAGAAGAAGAAGAGGAAAAGGAAGAUAAGUCACUGCAAUCGGAGGAUGAAGAUAAAGUUCUUGAUGAAGGGUUUUGGGAAGAAUUAUUCAGUGAGAGAUUGGAAGUGGCAAGAGGUGAAAAUGAAGAUGUGAACGUGUUGGCUGAUCGAUUGGGCUAUUUGGGGUCAAGCCCAAGAUAGAGCCUAAUGGGGAAGAAAAGAAUCACAAUGUUCCCUUUGAAAUGGAAGCUCAAAAGAAGCUGUCCUUCCCAUUUGGGGUUUUUGAUCUAAACCCUUUAUAACCUUCUUUUGGUUUAGUGUUUUGGCAGGACAGGAAGAUGAAAAGAGAGACACUACUGGUUUCUUCAGGGAUACAGCCUUUUUUUGUUGUGUUUUUGGCAUAAUCUUUCAAAGUUCUAACCCAAAUAAAAUGUUGAUUGCCCUUCCCUUUCCCCUUGUGCAACAACCACUUGUCCUUAUAUUAUCUCCUCUGUUUUUGUUAGGUUUGCAGGAAAUCUUAUGAUCUGCUUGGACUGAGUUCUGUGUUUAGUGAUGCCUCAAGAUCACUCACUCCAAAGCUCUAUCAAAUUGGGAAACAUCUCUGUUGCUGAAUACCUUGAAGAAUCACAAGCUGUUUCGUGCACGCGGUUCAUCUGCUACAAGCCUUUUUCCAAGCCACAACUGCAUCUCUUUCCUUCAAGGAAUCAUCAGAAAGAGAUUUUAUUUAAUGGUACACGACUUUAAUUUCUUCUUUGUGAAACUAGAAGUGGCAUUGUUAUAGGUUGGGUCAGCUUUGUGUUGAUUUGUAAGAUAAAUACAAACAAAGUCUCACAUUAACUAGGAAAGUCUCACAUUAACUAGGAAAGAGCACGAUCUAUAUAUAUAGAUGAGGACAAUUAUAUCCGUUGGAUAGGUCUUUUGGGUGAAACCAAAAACAAAAUCGUGGGGGCUAUGCCCAAAGUGGACAAUAUCAUACCAUCGUGGAGAUACUUGAUUAUUGACAUUCGUUAAUUAAAUGAUGACAUGACAUGACAUGAUUUA